CCUACGGGAGGCUGCAGUGGGGAAUCUUGCGCAAUGGGCGGAAGCCUGACGCAGCAACGCCGCGUGAGGGAUGAAUGCCUUCGGGUUGUAAACCUCUUUCAGCAGGGACGCGGUACCUGCAGAAGAAGCUCCGGCCGACUACGUGCCAGCAGCCGCGGUAAUACGUAGGGAGCGAGCGUUGUCCGGAUUUAUUGGGGGUAAAGAGCUCGUAGGCGGCUUGGUAAGUCGGAUGUGAAACCUUCACGCUCAACGUGGAGACGCCAUCCGAUACUGCUAGGCUUGAGUCCGGUAGGGGCCCACGGAAUUCCUGGUGUAGCGGUGAAAUGCGCAGAUAUCAGGAGGAACACCGGUGGCGAAGGCGGUGGGCUGGGCCGGACUGACGCUGAGGAGCGAAAGCGUGGGGAGCGAACAGGAUUAGAUACCCUUGUAGUC
RNAcentral lists this ribosomal RNA (432 nucleotides) under uncultured bacterium. RNAcentral's name for it is "partial 16S ribosomal RNA". It matches the Rfam family "Bacterial small subunit ribosomal RNA", at positions 338 to 795 of the family's 1533-position model. The record is from RNAcentral.